ACCUAGCUGGGCUUCUCUUGCACACUUCGUCAAGGUGUUAGAUCACAACGAAACUAACUUAACCUACUUUGUCAUUUAUCAAAACCUGAGUUAGACCGUCAGUGCUAACCGCACCAACAAAUACUUCUUGGAGGAGGAUAUUGGCAAUGAGUUUGAUUAGGGAGUUCAGUUUUUUGUUGGUUGUAUAGGUUAUAAAGUUUGGACAUCUUGUGUGAUGGAUGCAUAUGCUUAUGAUUCCCAACACUAUUCCCCUACUAUUUUAUUGUUUUCCAAUUCGAGGUCAACCUUUGCAUUUACGUUAACAUUGAUCGAGAUGGAGCUUUUGGUGUCACGUUCUUGAUGUAAAUCUGUGAGGUUGUUUGUAUAAUUGAGAAUGCAAUUUUAGUAGUAAGCUCAAUCUUUAGCUCACUUUUCUACGAGGGAAGGAAACAACUAAGGAAAGAAAAAUAAAAUCUAGAACACAUUAGUAAAUUUUUUUUUCUAGCUUUUGUUCCCUUCUUGUGAAGGAAAGAAAUAGAGUGCUCCUUUGUUCCAUUUCAUGAAGGGAAUCAAUGAGGGAGAGCAACCAAAGUUUCAAAAUUUAUUUGUUAAAAAAUAUAAAUCAAGUAUAGAAUUGGGAGCAAAACAAUCCUGAUUCUUUUUUGGUUGGAUUGUGUCCAUUGCAUGUGAAUAGUUCAUGUUUAUCCAAAUUAACUGGAAGAAAAUUUGGGUUGAACUGGAUAAAGAAUUUCAUAUUCCUUACCUCCUGUCUUCUAUUUCUGCCAAAGAAAACAUUAGCAAAGGACUGACGGAUAAAUCCUUCUGCCAAUUACUUAUUUCCUUUGUGUUUCCUACACUCAUGAGAGACACAACCUUGGGGCCUUAAUUUUGCAAGGAAAGCUGAUUACUGAGAUAUUUUUGUCCAUUCUAUUCUUUUUUUUUUAUUUCUAAUAGAUGGUAAAACACACACGAUCUUCUUCACCAGUUGAGUAUAAAUUAGGCAAUAUAUAAAACAACAUAAAUAAUUAUUGAGAAAGAUUAACAGUGGAGGUUUCGAAAUCAUAUACACAAUAUGUGGUAGAGCCACCACAUAAAGCAUAUCCAGUAUGGUUAUAGCGCCUUCAUUUACUGCCCAUACCUUAACACCAUUGUAUAGAUAAUAAUGCCAAAUAGCAUGUCAAAAAGUACGACUAUAUGAGUUUUUUUAAUUACUAUAUAGUAUAUAAAAUAAGUAAAUCAAAUCCAUAUAUGCAAACAAAUAUAAUGUCUAAUCACUUAACAAUUAAAUUAAUUAUUCUAACCAAUGUGGGCAUAGAUAAUAUAUAUAACACUAGAUACAUAAUACAUAACAAUUAAUGCUAAUCAAUUGGCAAAUCCAUAAAAGAUAUGUAGAUGAAUUCCUAAAAAUACACAUGCCAUUAGAUUUUAUUUUGCAAUUUUAUUGAAUCAAUCUGCAGUAAUUUGGAUAUGUUGAAAUGGGAGAAAAAUUAUUGAGAUAAUAUUAAUAUGCUCAGAUAUGACAUCCUAAAUAAGUCAGCGUUGUAGCUAAACCAUAAUGGUUGGGUCUAACAUAACUUGAUAAAUAAUCAAUCAUUUGGACUUUGACAAGCUUUGUUGCAUAAUCCUUAUGUCGCCAUAAGUAGAUACAGUAUAGGUCAUCCCCUCACUAGAUAAGAUUAUGACUCUAUACAUAGACUUUUAUAAUAUUUGUAACAGUAAACGUAUUGUUUAGGUGCAUUCAUGCCUAGAUACAUCUAUAGAAGGGUGUUUCUGACAAUUAACAUUACUACUUCUUCUGACAUGAUUAUUGUAUCCAAAUCUCUGAUGAUUUUUCUUGUAAUAUUUUGUUGCCCAGGUUACACACAGUUUCCUCUUCCAACAGAUAUAUUUGAUACAUGGCGCAAAUGUGCUUUUGGUUAAGUUACUUUUAAGUUCCAAGCCUUUUUUUUGAUAAGUAAAAAAAUAUAUAUCAAAGCAAGACCAAGGUACAAUACCCAAAAAUUAGUAGCGGCUCAUCUUUGACAUAAUGUUAGAUAAAAAAUACUCCCAAACUCCAACAAUCAUGAAUUUGUGCAUUUUUAUAAAAUUUCUCACUCUUUGACUAUCCCUCAUCAAAGAUGCAACUGUUCCUAGAUCUCCAUGUAAAGUGUAUCAAAGCCGACAUUACAAGGUGUCUGGUUUUAGUCAAGAGACGACCUCCUUUGAAGACAUGCCUAAAGACUAAGAGCAUCCACAUGCAACAUUUGGGUUACACAAGAUUAUCGUAGCAUCAAGGAUGCCGGUGGGCUGCCAUGGCAAAAUUUGGGUUACGUAGCAAAAAUUUGAUGUUGCAUUUAAAUUUAUCAAUUUAAUUUAAUUUUGAGUAACAGAGUGUGAUUGCAUCAAUUUGGUAUCAAUGCCAAUCUUAUUUGCCUAGUUGUGCUCAAUAAAGUCAAAUAGUCUAAACCGUUCAACAUGUCGUUUGGAUAAAUUAUUGAAACUUAAUAUAGGUAAUCUAUUCUAUGUAAUUGUAUUAAUAAUGUCAAUGAGUGUGUACAUUAUAGACCCCUUGACAUGCCACAAAUCUUAUUAAGAUAAAUUGAAAUAAUAUUUAUUAUUUUUUUUUGUAGCUUUUAACAUCAACAUUGUACUGUUGCAGGUAGAACAUAAAAUCCGAAAUUUGGCAUAUAGUUGUGUUCUAUUCUUCUUUUUUUUUUAUCUCCUUCGUCGUACCACUCCAAUUCUCCAUUAGUGUUGUAGGUUGAAACAUCAACACAAUACUGAAAUAUUAUGGUUCUAGCGAAAGUCUGAAACUCUCGACACAGCUAUUGAUUAGAUUGACUUGAAGUAGUCCUUGGGCAUCAUAUAGUAUAGCCAAGAUGGAGGAUAUAUAUGAUUAAAAAAUUUGUGUUUUGGCUGCCAAAUAUUGUCUAGAUCUUCAUUUACAUAAUUGUACUCUCUCUUAAAUUGCAAUUGCAUAGUAAUAUGAGGUAAAUGAAUACUUCUAUUUACUUCAUCUGUUUAGCUUUGCUUGAAGUUUUUAGAUUCAUUAAAACUGACAAAAGUUUAUUUUAAUAAGCCAAAAUUGAAUUCUCGAUUUGAAUGAAACUAUACCUUUUCUUCUUAUAUGCAUUUGCAUCAUUAUUCCUACCCAGUUUUGUUGCCUAUUCUAAUAUUUCUUUUUUUUUUAAAUUUUAUUUACUCACAUUUUAUUGGAUUCUUUUUUUUUAAAUCAUUAGUUUCAAUGAUAAAAUAAGUGAUGCAGUUUUAGGUGGAUCACCAUUUGAUCAUCCACUUCAGCAAGGGUUUGUUAUUGGUUUAUCAUUGGAAGUAACUCUUGCUUAACUUUGCAUUUCCUUCUCAAUUUAUUAUUUUUACAUUGUUGUUUUAUAGCUAUAACUAUAACUAUGCCAAUUCCAGUGCUAGUGUUGGUGGUCAUGCAGCCAAGUUAGUCCAUUCAAAUUGGUUAACUUAUGCUACAACUGAUGCUAGGUGCUUCAAAACUGAUUUUGAUACAUGAACAUUCCUUAGUAGGAUUGUCCUCAAUUUGAAAUACUAGUCCAUUGGACAUCAAACUCACAAACUUGCUAACUUUGGUAUCGUUAACAAAGGAAGUUUAACCAAGUAGCCACCUAAUGAGGCUCUUGAAUUUUCUUCUAGUCAACAUGAAAUGGGUUAAUCCCCUCAUUUGUCUUAGUUAGCAUGAACUAACUAAUUGAAAUUUCACUUCAUUAGGAAAGAAAAAGGGUAGCCUAAUGCACGAAGCUCCCGCCAAUGUGAGGUAUUGGCGGUCUCAGGGAAGGAUGUAUUGUACGUAGUCUUAUCUUACAUUGCAAGAGGCUGUUUUAGCGACUUGAACCCAUGACCUCUUGGUCAUAUUGCAAUAACUUCAUUAGGAAAUAGUUCAAUAAAAUAACAUUUUAAUCACCUAUUCUCCUUGCAUAGUAUAAUCCCUAAAUAUGCAAUGGUUUGUUUGAAUUUAUUGAGAAAAAUAGUAUUUCAAUGAAUUGGAACCUCAAAAACCCAAUUAGCAUUGACUACCAUGACAGUAUUGACUUUAAUCAACUUGAAGAACCCAUUUGGACUAUUACCUAUUCUUAGCUAGAUAUCAAAGAUAUGUUAGUUGUAGAAACAAUAUAUUUUGAGUUUUCACUUUACCUUAAUUAGUAAAUAUUAAAUACUACUAUUGUUUUGUACCUUUGAACUUUGGUGCAAAGUAACGAAUGUAUCAGUAGGUGUUGUUUGAGAAGUUCAAUUGAAGAGUAAUAUCACAAGGUUAAUCCAUGAAAAAAUGUUAAUUAUAAACUAUAUGGAUAGUUUCUAUCUUGAAACCUCCAUUUAUUUUUUGCCUUAAGCAUAUACAUGUUGUACAAAUUUGAUAUUAUUUUUUUCCCUUUUAAACCUAAUGGAUGUGACCAUGGUUACAAAUCUAUCUCGGAUGAUAUGCUGUCAUCUUCUACAGAUCACAUAGUUUCCUUCUUUAUUUAUUGAUAUCGUAUGUGUUUGAAAUCUCACUUUUAGUAGGCUUCCUUGUUCCUUCCAACCUUUUAUUGCUUGAGGUUGAUACUUGGGUAGGACUAACUUGGGAACUAUGCAAUGCAAUAAAUAAUAGGAUGAGAAGGAUAAUGCCAAACUUGAAGGGUAGCCUAGAUGCUGACAUCCUUGUAUUUCUAUGUGAAGGGACUCCUUGUUUUCUUCUAAGGUUUUUUUAUGGUUCAUGUUUUGUUCCAAGGUUGCAUCCUUUAAAGAGUUGUCACUGGUUCUGAUAUCCUGUUUCUUAAGAAAUGACAAAGGUUUAUCAAGGUACACAGUAGACCCACCAUGGCCUAUAACAACAAACUAUUAUUUAUAUAACAAUUAAUCUCAUAGAUCCUGUAACUUAUACUAUACCAACAACCUUUUCUCAAUUAGGUUGUAAGUAAUUCUAAAAAAAACUACUAGAUGUUUGAAGUAGCCUAGUGCAGGACUUUGUUUUACCAAGUAACUACUGAAAAUAAUAUUGCAAGGAGGUUUACCUUAACUUUAAAUGCUAAGGAUAGAAAACAAGUCUCAGAUUUCAAGAUAAAUCUAAGGCUCUAUAAAUAAUUUGAUGAAAUCAACUUUUGCUCUGACUAUUAUGUUUAUAAUACUCAUGACUUGUAAUUACUAAGUUACUUUUAUAUUUUUGUAAGUAUUUGAUCCAACUAAUGAUGUUGCUUUAUUUUUGAAGGUUGGAUUAGCUGCUAUCCUAAAGGGCUUUGUCCUAACAUGUCAAGAUGGAACAACAUAGCUCUCUAUGUCCUUGCACUAAUUUCAAGCAUAGUUUUAAGCAUGGCCAGUAUCAAUGUUUGUACAGAGUAGUAUGGCUGAGGAAUACUAAUGCUUCUGGGCUUUGGUGACAUUGAUCCCAGACAAUUUUACUAGAAUCGAUCUCUCUGACAUAUACAUUGCAAUUUUUCAUUCCUAUGCUUCAUAUGCAAAUCAAACAAGAAAGAGGUAGACCAAAGAAGACUUCAUUAGCUACGAUAAAAUAAGAUAAAAUUUAUUUAAAUAUACACGAUAAUAUAG
Zingiber officinale is the source of this 5505-nucleotide long non-coding RNA. RefSeq lists it as uncharacterized. The record is from RefSeq and is a predicted model, not a curated record. The transcript has 3 exons. Lineage: Eukaryota; Viridiplantae; Streptophyta; Magnoliopsida; Zingiberales; Zingiberaceae.